Molecule: ribosomal RNA, 253 nt
Filed under: uncultured bacterium
Lineage: Bacteria
Description: partial 16S ribosomal RNA
Rfam family: Bacterial small subunit ribosomal RNA
Source: RNAcentral
UACGUAGGGUGCAAGCGUUGUCCGGAAUUAUUGGGCGUAAAGAGCUCGUAGGCGGCUAGUCGCGUCGGCUGUGAAAACCUGGGGCUCAACCCCGGGCCUGCAGACGAUACGGGCUAGCUAGAAUUCGGUAGGGGAGACUGGAAUUCCUGGUGUAGCGGUGAAAUGCGCAGAUAUCAGGAGGAACACCGGUGGCGAAGGCGGCAUCCUGGACCGACAUUGACGCUGAACGGCGAAAGCUAGGGGAGCAAACGGG